Molecule: ribosomal RNA, 467 nt
Filed under: uncultured bacterium
Lineage: Bacteria
Description: partial 16S ribosomal RNA
Rfam family: Bacterial small subunit ribosomal RNA
Source: RNAcentral
GAUGAACGCUGGCGGCGUGCUUAACACAUGCAAGUCGAACGGUGAAGCAGAGCUUGCUCUGUGGAUCAGUGGCGAACGGGUGAGUAACACGUGAGCAACCUGCCCCUGACUCUGGGAUAAGCGCUGGAAACGGCGUCUAAUACUGGAUAUGAGCUGCGACCGCAUGGUCAGCAGUUGGAAAGAUUUUUCGGUCUGGGAUAGGCUCACGGCCUAUCAGCUUGUUGGUGAGGUAAUGGCUCACCAAGGCGUCGACGGGUAGCCGGCCUGAGAGGGUGACCGGCCACACUGGGACUGAGACACGGCCCAGACUCCUACGGGAGGCAGCAGUGGGGAAUAUUGCACAAUGGGCGAAAGCCUGAUGCAGCAACGCCGCGUGAGGGGUGACGGCCUUCGGGUUGUAAACCUCUUUUAGCAGGGAAGAAGCGAAAGUGACGGUACCUGCAGAAAAAGCGCCGGCUAACUACGUG